RNAcentral lists this unclassified non-coding RNA (215 nucleotides) under fungal sp. Its description in RNAcentral is "partial internal transcribed spacer region". The stretch from base 1 to 46 matches the Rfam family "Eukaryotic small subunit ribosomal RNA", at positions 1786 to 1831 of the family's 1831-position model. The record is from RNAcentral. RNAcentral also lists the same sequence under 1 other name. Lineage: Eukaryota; Fungi.
AAGUCGUAACAAGGUCUCCGUUGGUGAACCAGCGGAGGGAUCAUUACUGAGUUUACGCUCUAUAUCCUUUGUGAAUUAUAGUACCUGUUGCUUCGGCGGCGCGUCCUCUUCGGGGGCGUGCCCGCCGGUGUUCAGCAUCUCUUGUUUUUGCGAGUUACCUCUGAGUGUUCCAAAGCGAACUGUUAAAACUUUCAACAACGGAUCUCUUGGCUCUA